This is a non-coding RNA of Pelobates cultripes (western spadefoot toad), 338 nucleotides long. NCBI's taxonomy places the organism in Eukaryota, Metazoa, Chordata, Amphibia, Anura, Pelobatidae. The record is from the annotation of a GenBank genome assembly.
CUGAACGUGGCUUAACGGGUAGACUAAUUAAAUGGGCAAGCCUUCCAUAACAUUUGUCCUGAAUGGGAUAGGAGGAUAUCUGUAGAUUCACACCUGAAAACAGGACUGCUGCAUGUGGACUUUAGUGACUUAGUGGCUUAUUCUUCAAGCAUCAAAUGGGAAUAGUUUAUAAACAAAUGUAAAAAUUCAGGCUACAGGUACACAGGGUUACUGAAAAAUCUGAAACAACAAUCCCUAUUCUAUACUGGAUUGCAUGCAAAGGAUCUACCAUAAAAAGGGAAGAAAAGAUGCUGGAUCCCACGGUUAUCAGAACCUCCUAGCCCUAAGAUGGAGAAAAA